This 1263-nucleotide long non-coding RNA is filed under the name Anolis carolinensis (green anole). RNAcentral describes it as "lncRNA (ENSACAG00000041200.1)". Lineage: Eukaryota; Metazoa; Chordata; Lepidosauria; Squamata; Anolidae. The record is from RNAcentral.
GGCUGGGUGGCCCAUCUGUCGGAAGGGGUUUGGUGGUGUCUCUUCCUGCCUGGCUGAAGGAGGAUGGAGUAGCUGGCCUUUGGGGGUCUCUUCUGGCUCUAGGAUUCCAUGGUGAGAGGGCCCAAAAAAGACUACAGUGUUCCCUCACUACUUCGCGGUUCACUUUUUGGGAGAGAAAAGGAGCCCAAGUGGCAACGGGAGGAGGAGGGGAUUUAUCAGCGCACAAUUGGUUGAUAAAAGACUUAAAAUAGUGUAUAACUCCUAAAAUAAUGUAUAAAUAUUGAAAUAAAUAUAGCGUCCCUCCUUCGUGGAUUUUCACUUAUUGCGGGUGGUCCUGGAACGUAACCCCAGCAACAAGUGAGGAAACACUGUAUAUAGCAGACUUGGGUGAAGUAGCCCUCUGUGAUGUCACCGGGCUGGCUGUUGCUAGGUGAAGUGGCCCUGUGUGGUGUCACCGGGCUGGCUGUUGCUUGGUGGAGUGGCCUCCUGUGAUGUCGCCAAGUUGACACUUGUUAAGUGAAGUGGCCUUCUGUGAUGCCACCAGGUUGGCUGUUGCUAGGUGAAGUGGCCCUCUGUGAUGUUGCCGUGUUGGCUGUUGCUAGGUGAAGUGGCCCUCUGUGAUGUUGCCGGGGUGGCUGUUGCCAGGUGAAGUGGCCCUCUGUAAUGUUGCCGGGUUGGCUGUUGCUAGAUGGGGUGGCCCUCUGUGGUGUCACCGAGCUGACUUGCUUGGUGAAGUGGUCCUUUGUGAUGUCACCAGGUUGGCUGUUAGGUGAAGUGGCCCUCUGUGAUGUUACCAAUUUGGCUGUUGCUAGAUGGAGUGGUCCUUUGGGAUGUUGCCAGGCUGGCUGUUGCUAGGUGAGGUGGCUCUCUGUGAUUUUGCCGGGCUGGCUUCUGUUAUGUGAAGUCGUCCUUUGUGAUGUUGCCAGGUUGGCUUUUGCUAGGUGAGGUGGCCCUCUGUGAUUUUGCCUGGCUGGCUUCUGUUAUGUGAAGUGGUCCUUUGUGAUGUUGCCGAGGUGGCUGUUGUUAUGUGUAGUGGUCCUUUGUGAUGUUACCAGGUUGGCUGUUGCUAGGUGAAGUGGUCCUUUGUGAUGUUACCAGGUUGGCUGUUGCUAGGUGAAGUGGUCCUUUGUGAUGUUACCAGGUUGGCUGUUGCUAGGUGAAGUGGUUCUUUGUGAUGUUACCAGGUUGGCUGUUGCUAGGUGAAGUGGUCCUUUGUGAUGUUACCAGGUUGGCUGUUGCUAGGUGAAGUGGUCCUUUGUGAUG